AUGAUUGUUGGGCUGAGAGAGGAGAGAUGGACAGUGACUUGUUUUGUUGCGGAGCAUACACAUCCAUUGCUGGAACAGCCGGAGCGUGUUAGGUACUACCAGUCGCACCGCAGUAUACCUGCCGAGGAUUACCAGCUCUUGUUGACGUUGCAUGAUGUGAACCUAUCAAAUUCAGAUUGCAUGGGUGUCCUUGGCAGGGUCCAUGGAGGUGACACCAGGAUACUCCCAUAUGUGAAGAGAGAUGUUUCGAAUGAACGUGCAAAGCUCCGGAGAGGGCUAACAUUCCGAGACAUGGAUAUGACAGUCGUGUACUUUGAGAGGAGGAAAGCUGAGAAUCCAGAGUUUUUCUAUGCGAAACAAAAGGAUCCUGCAACAAACUCCGUGACUGCCUUGUUUUGGGUU
RNAcentral lists this ribosomal RNA (402 nucleotides) under Triticum aestivum (bread wheat). Its description in RNAcentral is "partial small subunit ribosomal RNA". The record is from RNAcentral. Lineage: Eukaryota; Viridiplantae; Streptophyta; Magnoliopsida; Poales; Poaceae.